UACGGAGGGGGCGAGCGUUGUUCGGAGUGACUGGGCGUAAAGAGCACGUAGGCGGUGUUGUAAGUCAUUAGUCAAAGACUAGAGCUCAACUUUAGUAAGGCUAGUGAUACUAUAAUACUAGAGUAUCAGAGAGGAUUGCAGAAUUCCUGGUGUAGCGGUGAAAUGCGUAGAUAUCAGGAGGAAUACCGGUAGCGAAGGCGGCGAUCUGGCUGGAAACUGACGCUGAGGUGCGAAAGCGUGGGUAGCAAACAGG
This 253-nucleotide ribosomal RNA is filed under the name uncultured bacterium. Its description in RNAcentral is "partial 16S ribosomal RNA". It matches the Rfam family "Bacterial small subunit ribosomal RNA", at positions 524 to 776 of the family's 1533-position model. The record is from RNAcentral.